CCCAACCAGAUCAGGCUCGCAGAGAAGCCCAGUGUCCAGCUAUAGAUCCUGGACAAUUCCUAAAAUCACCACGGAACUCAAAAAGAGGAAUAUCCCUUUCCUGGCCCCAGCCAGGAAAGCUGAACUUUUCGUUUGUUAAAUACUUACAAGGACAACGAAAGGCCUGGCCCUGGUUCUAAGUUUAACGUGCAAAACAGCCAGUCAAACCUGCACGUGGUGAUGGCCUCCCUAGUGUUUUCUGUACCCACGAUUAAUAAUAGGUUGGAUAAUCUGGAGUCUAAUAAUACACCAACCAUUCC
This is a non-coding RNA of Pelobates cultripes (western spadefoot toad), 299 nucleotides long. Lineage: Eukaryota; Metazoa; Chordata; Amphibia; Anura; Pelobatidae. The record is from the annotation of a GenBank genome assembly.